Long non-coding RNA from Tribolium castaneum (red flour beetle), 339 nucleotides. RefSeq lists it as uncharacterized. The record is from RefSeq and is a predicted model, not a curated record. The transcript has 2 exons. Lineage: Eukaryota; Metazoa; Arthropoda; Insecta; Coleoptera; Tenebrionidae.
GCCUUACGUAGCUUGGUUCGGAGAAAGUCGGUGCGUAUUCGUUCACAUCUGAGACGGUUAUGUGAACGGUGGCGCUGCAAAAAACCAAAAAAACAAACUCAAUAAAUAAAUUGUUGCGGUUUUGUGUGUGUAUGUGACGUUGAAGUGGAUUAAAAUGGACACCUGCAUGGGUAUUUCCCCAACUAUGCAACGAGUUAAAGAUUUUGGGUUUUAUGCCAUAAUUGCGCUUAUGGGAACUUUCCUUAUUGUUUUGCUGUGUUUUAUUUUUUAUAAAACAAUCGAUUCGUUUGGUUAAGUUGUAUCUGUUAUUAAACGAAUUAAAAUGGUUUUCCCAAACAA